AUGCAGUGCGUGGCCGUGUCGUACAACGUCGCGUUCAAGGACGCCGGGCACCGGCUCCUGCGCGACCACGGCAUGGACUUCCACCCCGCCGACGCGUGCAUGUCCAAGGAGUUUAUGGAGUACAUCGCGAGGACGUGGCAUGACGGGCAGGGAGCGGCGGUUGGGGGCAUGGUCAUCAACACGUGUCGUGCGCUGGAGGGCGAGUUCAUCGACGUGGAAGCCCAGAGUCCGGAGUACAGCGGCCAGAAGAUCUUCGCCAUCGGGCCACUCAACCCACUCCUCGACGCGAGCGCGAGGGUGCCGGGGGAGGCGCGGCACGGGUGCCUUGACUGGCUCGAUAGACAACCGCCGGCGUCGGUGUUGUACGUAUCGUUCGGCACCACGUCCUCGCUGCUCACCGCGCAAGUCGCGGAAAUCGCCGCGGCGCUGCGUGACGGCAAGCAGCGGUUCAUCUGGGUGCUGCGUGACGCCGACCGCGGCGUCAACGACGUACACGAGGAAGGCACUGACGGCCAGCACGCCAAGUUGCUGUCGGAAUUUACCAGGCAAACCGAGGGGACGGGGCUCGUGAUCACCGGGUGGGCACCGCAGCUGGAGAUCCUGGCGCACGGCGCCACGGUGGCGUUCAUGAGCCACUGCGGCUGGAACUCGGCCAUGGAGAGCUUGAGCCAUGGUAAGCCGAUUCUGGCCUGGCCCAUGCACUCGGACCAGCCGUGGGAGGCGGAGUUUAUCUGCAAGUACCUCAAGGCUGGUCUCCUCGUGCGGCCCUUGGAGCAGCGCAGCUCGGUGGUGCCGUCGGAGGUCAUCAGAGAGGUCAUCGAGAAGGCGAUGGUAUCCGAGGAAGGAUUGCAAGCGAGGGAGCGGGCAAAUGCGCUGGGCGUGUCCAUCCGCGCCUCGGUGGCCGAGGACGGGUCGUCGCAUUUAGACCUCCAGAAAUUCAUUGCUCAUAUUGCAAGAUGA
Molecule: ribosomal RNA, 960 nt
Filed under: Triticum aestivum (bread wheat)
Lineage: Eukaryota; Viridiplantae; Streptophyta; Magnoliopsida; Poales; Poaceae
Description: partial small subunit ribosomal RNA
Source: RNAcentral